ACAGCAGUCGCCGCGGUAAUACGAAGGGUGCAAGCGUUAAUCGGAAUUACUGGGCGUAAAGCGUGCGUAGGCGGUUUGUUAAGUCUGCUGUGAAAUCCCCGGGCUCAACCUGGGAAUGGCAGUGGAUACUGGCAAGCUAGAGUGUGUCAGAGGAUGGUGGAAUUCCCGGUGUAGCGGUGAAAUGCGUAGAGAUCGGGAGGAACAUCAGUGGCGAAGGCGGCCAUCUGGGACAACACUGACGCUGAGGCACGAAAGCGUGGGGAGCAAACAGGAUUAGAUACCCGAGUAGUCCCUGUCUCUUAUAC
Molecule: ribosomal RNA, 305 nt
Filed under: uncultured bacterium
Lineage: Bacteria
Description: partial 16S ribosomal RNA
Rfam family: Bacterial small subunit ribosomal RNA
Source: RNAcentral